Molecule: small nucleolar RNA, 91 nt
Organism: Dendrobium catenatum
Lineage: Eukaryota; Viridiplantae; Streptophyta; Magnoliopsida; Asparagales; Orchidaceae
Source: RefSeq, a predicted model, not a curated record
GUAGAUGAUGAAAUGCACUGGGCUCUGAGCAGGUUUUCUGCAGUUAAAUUACUGAUGGAAUUGCACUUGCCUAGAAAGCAUUUUCUGAUUA